This 806-nucleotide ribosomal RNA is filed under the name uncultured Pelagibacteraceae bacterium. RNAcentral's name for it is "bacterial SSU rRNA". It matches the Rfam family "Bacterial small subunit ribosomal RNA", at positions 33 to 887 of the family's 1533-position model. The record is from RNAcentral. Lineage: Bacteria; Pseudomonadati; Pseudomonadota; Alphaproteobacteria; Candidatus Pelagibacterales; Candidatus Pelagibacteraceae.
ACGCUGGCGGCACGCCUAAUACAUGCAAGUCGAACGGGGUAGCAAUACCUAGUGGCAGACGGGUGAGUAACAUGUGGGUAUCUUCCCUUUGGUGAGGAAUAACACGAGGAAACUUGUGCUAAUACCUCAUAAGUCUUUACGGAGAAAGCUUUAUGCGCCAAUGGAUGAGCCUGCACUUGAUUAGUUAGUUGGUGGGGUAAAGGCCUACCAAGACAUUGAUCAAUAGCUGAUUUGAGAGGAUGAUCAGCCACAUUGGGACUGAGACACGGCCCAAACUCCUACGGGAGGCAGCAGUAGGGAAUCUUGCACAAUGGAGGAAACUCUGAUGCAGCGAUGCCGCGUGAGUGAAGAAGGCCCUUGGGUUGUAAAGCUCUUUCGUCGGGGAAGAAAAUGACUGUACCCGAAUAAGAAGGUCCGGCUAACUUCGUGCCAGCAGCCGCGGUAAUACGAAGGGACCUAGCGUAGUUCGGAAUUACUGGGCUUAAAGAGUUCGUAGGUGGUUAAAAAAGUUGGUGGUGAAAUCCCAGAGCUUAACUCUGGAACUGCCAUCAAAACUUUUUAGCUAGAGUUUGAUAGAGGAAAGCAGAAUUUCUAGUGUAGAGGUGAAAUUCGUAGAUAUUAGAAAGAAUACCGAUUGCGAAGGCAGCUUUCUGGAUCAAUACUGACACUGAGGAACGAAAGCAUGGGUAGCGAAGAGGAUUAGAUACCCUCGUAGUCCAUGCCGUAAACGAUGUGUGUUAGAUGUUGGAAAUUUAUUUUCAGUAUCGCAGCGAAAGCGUUAAACACACCGCCUGGGGAGUACGACC